UAGGGAAUAUUGGACAAUGGGGGCAACCCUGAUCCAGCCAUGCCGCGUGAGUGAAGAAGGCCCUCGGGUUGUAAAGCUCUUUUGUCCGGAAAGAAAAGCAUUCGGUGAAUACCCGGAUGUUCUGACGGUACCGGAAGAAUAAGCACCGGCUAACUUCGUGCCAGCAGCCGCGGUAAUACGAAGGGUGCAAGCGUUACUCGGAAUUACUGGGCGUAAAGCGUGCGUAGGUGGUUGUUUAAGUCUGAUGUGAAAGCCCUGGGCUCAACCUGGGAAGGGCAUUGGAAACUGGGCAGCUAGAGUGCGGUAGAGGGUAGUAGAAUUCCCGGUGUAGCAGUGAAAUGCGUAGAGAUCGGGAGAAACAUCUGUGGCGAAGGCGACUGCCUGGACCAGCACUGACACUGAGGCACGAAAGCGUGGGGAGCAAACA
Molecule: ribosomal RNA, 427 nt
Filed under: uncultured bacterium
Lineage: Bacteria
Description: bacterial SSU rRNA
Rfam family: Bacterial small subunit ribosomal RNA
Source: RNAcentral